AGCAGCCGCGGUAAUUCCAGCUCCAAUAGCGUAUAUUAAAGUUGUUGCAGUUAAAAAGCUCGUAGUUGAAUUUCGGGGUUAGUAGGUUGGUCAUGCCUCCGGUAUGUACUGGUCUCACUGAUUCCUCCUUCCUGAUGAACCUUAAUGCCAUUAAUUUGGUGUUUUGGGGAAUUUGGACUGUUACUUUGAAAAAAUUAGAGUGUUUAAAGCAAGCUAACGCUUGAAUACAUUAGCAUGGAAUAAUGAAAUAGGACGUUCGAUCCUAUUUUGUUGGUUUCUAGGAUUGACGUAAUGAUUAAUAGGGAUAGUUGGGGGCAUUAGUAUUCAAUUGUCAGAGGUGAAAUUCUUGGAUUUAUUGAAGACUAACUACUGCGAAAGCAUUUGCCAAGGAUGUUUUCAUUAAUCAAGAACGAAAGUUAGGGGAAUCGAAGACGAUCAGAUACCGUCGUAGUCUUAACCAUAAACCUAUGCCGACUAGGGAUCGGAUGAUGUAAUUUUUAAUGACUCAUUCGGCGCCUUA
Molecule: ribosomal RNA, 520 nt
Filed under: uncultured Glomus
Lineage: Eukaryota; Fungi; Glomeromycota; Glomeromycetes; Glomerales; Glomeraceae
Description: SSU rRNA
Rfam family: Eukaryotic small subunit ribosomal RNA
Source: RNAcentral